This is a non-coding RNA of Petromyzon marinus (sea lamprey), 664 nucleotides long. The record is from RefSeq and is a predicted model, not a curated record. Lineage: Eukaryota; Metazoa; Chordata; Hyperoartia; Petromyzontiformes; Petromyzontidae.
GUAAGAUUUGCAUGUUUUUUGUAACGUGUAAGUGUAUGCAGUUUCCCAUGACAGUAACCUUUCUUUACACUCUGUUUUAAGCUUCGACUUUGUUAAGACAAAGUUCUCAUCGUGUUUCACAGUUGAUUUUUGUUCCAUAGAAAGGGUUCUAUUUUCCAGGCUUGUAUGCGAAAAUACUAUCGAUUAGCAGAUAAGUCACCUGAGCUGCAUUCACGUUUAACAAAGGUGACACCAUAAAUGCUCAUCGCUGUCUUUUAAACAUAUGAUCUCAAAAUAAUGUCACAUUUGUACGUAUAUUUUAUCACCCAUGUAGAUUGAAUGAUGGCAAUUAAUUGGAAAGUCAAGAGUUCAAAUAUUAGUUGAGGGGUUGAUUCAACCCAUUAUCCAUCUUGUGUCGAUAAACGAAGAAACACUUAGUGGGGAGGUCACCAAUGAUUAUAAUUUGGAUAGACUCACCCCCAUAAUAGGAAUGUGAAAGGUGCAUCACUGGCUCAGCUGUAAACAAGAGAUGUGUACCACCUCAAUGCUAAUUUAGGCAAGAAAUCACUUUGAUGGACUCUAUGGAUAUUAUUGUUUAUUUAACUCCCCAGUGAUGUGCAACCAACAAAGAUAGUUUUAUUUAAAGGAUUGUAUUUAGACCAGUUUCAAAGAAGACUUAUGCUGA